Molecule: long non-coding RNA, 1001 nt
Filed under: Cyanistes caeruleus (blue tit)
Lineage: Eukaryota; Metazoa; Chordata; Aves; Passeriformes; Paridae
Description: lncRNA (ENSCCEG00000022596.1)
Source: RNAcentral
GUGCGGGAGCCGUGCGGGGCAGAGACAGCGGUGCAGGAGGGUGUGAGGGCGGUGCGAGGGCGGUGCGGGAGCGGUGCGGGGCAGAGACAGCGGUGCAGGAGGGUGUGAGAGCGGUGUGAAGGCGGUCCCGGAGCGGUGCGGGGCAGAGACAGCGGUGCGGCAGCGGGGCCUGCAAGGCGUCCGGCGGCCACCGGGGGGCUUCAUUUCCCCUCGAAAGGAGCUCUGCCGGGAGCCGCUUCCCGGGAAAGCGGCUUGUUAGCGCUAAUGAGAGCCCGGCUGUUCUGCUCCCGCGGCUCAGCGUUUACUGUUAGCUCGGGGUUUAGCCAUUUAAAGGUAUCUCGGCCUCCCUGUUUGUUUUGAGGGUCUCACGUCUGUCAGCUUUCACCGAGUACAGACUAAUACGCUUACGCACGUUUUAGCCUUGGCGGGAGCCUGAAUAACGGCCGAGGCCAUUAGUGGGGCAGGACGGCCCCAAAUGCUGGGCUGCAUUCUCUUUCCAGCCUGCCAGGCUCCCGUGACUGCCGUGCUGCUCCACUUUUUGCGGAGAAAAUAGAAGACCAUGAAUUCUGGGUACUGGGAAUGUCACUUGCAGCAACAAGGAAGGCAUCCAGAUGCUGGUGAGAACUGAUGGACACGUGAAGGACACAGCCCUGUGCUACUUAUGUACCACUGGUAGAGGAAUAAUUGCCCUGCACACAUAUCUCAGAUGUCAGGAAGGCAAAAUGGCUGACUGCAACAGUCUAUGGUCUGACAUAGAACAAAACACAACAAAGCUAGGCGGGAAAAGAGCAAGAAUUAGGGGAGCAGUAAUAAGAUCACACAGAAAAGCUGGCAUGCCUCCUGUGGGCUGUGCUUUCAAGCUUGCUCUUCUUCCUGCAACAGUUCAAAGAUCAAAGAAGGAGCAGAGGCUGUUUCCCAGGAGCCAAAAGACACCCAUUACACAGACCCUGUGGGAGAUGCCUGGCAAAGGAUCAGAAUUUAGUGGUCAUUUUGUUUGUUAG